Molecule: ribosomal RNA, 1374 nt
Filed under: uncultured bacterium
Lineage: Bacteria
Description: bacterial SSU rRNA
Rfam family: Bacterial small subunit ribosomal RNA
Source: RNAcentral
GAUGAACGCUGGCGGCGUGCCUAAUACAUGCAAGUCGAGCGAACGGACGAGAAGCUUGCUUCUCUGAUGUUAGCGGCGGACGGGUGAGUAACACGUGGAUAACCUACCUAUAAGACUGGGAUAACUUCGGGAAACCGGAGCUAAUACCGGAUGAUAUUUUGAACCGCAUGGUUCAAAAGUGAAAGACGGUCUUGCUGUCACUUAUAGAUGGAUCCGCGCUGCAUUAGCUAGUUGGUAAGGUAACGGCUUACCAAGGCAACGAUGCAUAGCCGACCUGAGAGGGUGAUCGGCCACACUGGAACUGAGACACGGUCCAGACUCCUACGGGAGGCAGCAGUAGGGAAUCUUCCGCAAUGGGCGAAAGCCUGACGGAGCAACGCCGCGUGAGUGAUGAAGGUCUUCGGAUCGUAAAACUCUGUUAUUAGGGAAGAACAUAUGUGUAAGUAACUGUGCACAUCUUGACGGUACCUAAUCAGAAAGCCACGGCUAACUACGUGCCAGCAGCCGCGGUAAUACGUAGGUGGCAAGCGUUAUCCGGAAUUAUUGGGCGUAAAGCGCGCGUAGGCGGUUUUUUAAGUCUGAUGUGAAAGCCCACGGCUCAACCGUGGAGGGUCAUUGGAAACUGGAAAACUUGAGUGCAGAAGAGGAAAGUGGAAUUCCAUGUGUAGCGGUGAAAUGCGCAGAGAUAUGGAGGAACACCAGUGGCGAAGGCGACUUUCUGGUCUGUAACUGACGCUGAUGUGCGAAAGCGUGGGGAUCAAACAGGAUUAGAUACCCUGGUAGUCCACGCCGUAAACGAUGAGUGCUAAGUGUUAGGGGGUUUCCGCCCCUUAGUGCUGCAGCUAACGCAUUAAGCACUCCGCCUGGGGAGUACGACCGCAAGGUUGAAACUCAAAGGAAUUGACGGGGACCCGUACAAGCGGUGGAGCAUGUGGUUUAAUUCGAAGCAACGCGAAGAACCUUACCAAAUCUUGACAUCCUUUGACAACUCUAGAGAUAGAGCCUUCCCCUUCGGGGGGGACAAAGUGACAGGUGGUGCAUGGCUGUCGUCAGCUCGUGUCGUGAGAUGUUGGGUUAAGUCCCGCAACGAGCGCAACCCUUAAGCUUAGUUGCCAUCAUUAAGUUGGGCACUCUAAGUUGACUGCCGGUGACAAACCGGAGGAAGGUGGGGAUGACGUCAAAUCAUCAUGCCCCUUAUGAUUUGGGCUACACACGUGCUACAAUGGACAAUACAAAGGGCAGCGAAACCGCAAGGUCAAGCAAAUCCCAUAAAGUUGUUCUCAGUUCGGAUUGUAGUCUGCAACUCGACUACAUGAAGCUGGAAUCGCUAGUAAUCGUAGAUCAGCAUGCUACGGUGAAUACGUUCCCGGGUCU